This 457-nucleotide ribosomal RNA is filed under the name uncultured bacterium. Its description in RNAcentral is "partial 16S ribosomal RNA". It matches the Rfam family "Bacterial small subunit ribosomal RNA", at positions 338 to 795 of the family's 1533-position model. The record is from RNAcentral.
CCUACGGGAGGCUGCAGUGGGGAAUAUUGCACAAUGGGGGAAACCCUGAUGCAGCGACGCCGCGUGAGUGAAGAAGUAUUUCGGUAUGUAAAGCUCUAUCAGCAGGGAAGAAAUAAAGUCCUUCGGACUUUGGACGGUACCUGACUAAGAAGCCCCGGCUAACUACGUGCCAGCAGCCGCGGUAAUACGGAGGGUGCGAGCGUUAAUCGGAAUCACUGGGCGUAAAGCGCGCGUAGGCGGCUUUUCAAGUCAGGGGUGAAAUCCCACGGCCCAACCGUGGAACUGCCUUUGAAACUGUAGAGCUUGAGUGUCGGAGAGGGUGGCGGAAUUCCAGGUGUAGGAGUGAAAUCCGUAGAUAUCUGGAGGAACACCGGUGGCGAAGGCGGCCACCUGGACGACAACUGACGCUGAGGUGCGAAAGCGUGGGUAGCAAACAGGAUUAGAUACCCGAGUAGUC